Molecule: ribosomal RNA, 442 nt
Filed under: uncultured bacterium
Lineage: Bacteria
Description: partial 16S ribosomal RNA
Rfam family: Bacterial small subunit ribosomal RNA
Source: RNAcentral
CCUACGGGAGGCAGCAGUGGGGAAUAUUGGGCAAUGGGCGCAAGCCUGACCCAGCAACGCCGCGUGAAGGAAGAAGGCUUUCGGGUUGUAAACUUCUUUUAAGAGGGAAGAGCAGAAGACGGUACCUCUUGAAUAAGCCACGGCUAACUACGUGCCAGCAGCCGCGGUAAUACGUAGGUGGCAAGCGUUGUCCGGAUUUACUGGGUGUAAAGGGCGUGCAGCCGGGAAGACAAGUCAGAUGUGAAAGCCCGCGGCUCAACCGCGGAACUGCCUUUGAAACUGUUUUUCUUGAGUACCGGAGAGGUCAUCGGAAUUCCUUGUGUAGCGGUGAAAUGCGUAGAUAUAAGGAAGAACACCAGUGGCGAAGGCGGAUGACUGGACGGCAACUGACGGUGAGGCGCGAAAGCGUGGGGAGCAAACAGGAUUAGAUACCCCUGUAGUC